AUGAGCAUUCGGUGUGGAUCGCGCCCAUGCUUACUCAGCUCCAGGAUCAGGCUCCUAAACCUAUUUUCAAUUAGCCAUCUGGUGUAUGUUGUUGGAGUUCCGCAUGAUGCCUUAAUCCCACCACUGUGUCUAAGGAAUAGCCUUUUCUUCUUUUCUUUAUUGUUCGUGGGAACAUAG
Molecule: ribosomal RNA, 177 nt
Filed under: Triticum aestivum (bread wheat)
Lineage: Eukaryota; Viridiplantae; Streptophyta; Magnoliopsida; Poales; Poaceae
Description: partial small subunit ribosomal RNA
Source: RNAcentral